This 218-nucleotide unclassified non-coding RNA is filed under the name Hevea brasiliensis (rubber tree). The record is from RNAcentral. Lineage: Eukaryota; Viridiplantae; Streptophyta; Magnoliopsida; Malpighiales; Euphorbiaceae.
AUUGGAAGCAAUAUACUGACCCAAGUUCAUAUGCUUUGGAAGCUGGUACCCAGAUAGAUUUCCAAUUGCUUUGCUAAUAACAUAUUCAGUCUUCUGCUUGGGAACCUUAGACAACUGAAAAAGAUCAUCAGCAAACAUGAGGCGCCUUGCUCUUCUAGGUUCCACAGCAUUUAGUUGCAGUAAAGCAUGUCCAACACGAUGCAAUACAGAAGGAUCAC